This 267-nucleotide ribosomal RNA is filed under the name uncultured Atopobium sp. Its description in RNAcentral is "partial 16S ribosomal RNA". It matches the Rfam family "Bacterial small subunit ribosomal RNA", at positions 89 to 355 of the family's 1533-position model. Lineage: Bacteria; Bacillati; Actinomycetota; Coriobacteriia; Coriobacteriales; Atopobiaceae. The record is from RNAcentral.
UAUAAAGUGGCGAACGGCUGAGUAACACGUGGGCAACCUGCCCUUUGCACUGGGAUAGCCUCGGGAAACCGAGGUUAAUACCGGAUACUCCAUAUUUGUCGCAUGGCGAAUAUGGGAAAGCUCCGGCGGCAAAGGAUGGGCCCGCGGCCUGUUAGCUAGUUGGUGGGGUAGUGGCCUACCAAGGCAAUGAUGGGUAGCCGGGUUGAGAGACCGACCGGCCAGAUUGGGACUGAGACACGGCCCAGACUCCUACGGGAGGCAGCAGCC